GUACUAGUGCGAGCAGCCGAGGCAGAGCUGGAGUUUUCAAACUACUACAGUGAAUUCCUAUGGAAGCCAGGCAGGCACUGCGGGAAACAUCUCCCGAGAACAGCUGUGAGCAGUAGCGUACGAGUGACAGUGAAGAAAUUUCUAACGCUCCCAUGGAAAUAUAUGACGAAGUAACUUACAUUUAAAAGCGCAAAUCCUUUUGAAACUGUGAGGAAAACAGCGCCUUUAGCUCCUGCUUCACUACUCGUCACCAUGUCAGUCAGAGCAACCGACCACCGCAUGAGUCCAUCAUCAGUGGCCAAAAGAAAUCAAAGUGGCUUGACAUAUUUUGCAAUCCUUCUGCCAAGACCAUGCUUGUGCCUGUGUACGUUGACAAUGAGGACCAAACUGAUGACCUACUUUCACCUCACUUAAUUUCUGGACAGGACACCCACACAGACAGUGACACAAUCAAGUUUAUUAUGGAUGUCCUUUUUCCAGAGGUGGGUCCUGUGUUAGCUGUGCUCCUCAGAUUUAUUUUGUAAUUGCUUUAAAAAAAUGUUUUGGUUAAUGUAGAAAGGAUACUCAGUUUUGUUGUACAAAAAAAUAAAAAAUAAUUUUAAUACUGAAAUGAUACUACUUGUUUGGGUGUGACCCAUCUUGACUUAACUCUUUCUUUGAUAGUAUCAUGGUUCUGCCCCAUCUUGUCUUGCUUUUCUUGACCUAGUGGCAGAAUCGUGACAGAACCUCUUAUUUCAUGUGGAGAGAGGCGUUUUGGCCCUGUUGGCCUUCCACUCUCCGGUGUGGCGUCUCUGUUCCCGGCCUUUCGUUGCCUCAUUAUUGAUUGUUUAUUAGUUCAUGCCCCACACCUGUUCCCUCUUGAUUUGUUCCCUUUAUAAGGUCCCUGUGUUUUCUGUCCUGUGCUGGUUCAUUGUCGUUUGUAUGGUGAGUGCCUGUUCCGUGUCAGUCUAGUCUAGUGUAGUCAUUUGUAGUUCAUGUUUAUGUUAAUCUUAGUCUUGUUAGGUGUAUUUAGUCUUAGUCCUGUCCUGUUGUAGAUUCCCCUGUUUUGUUUUGUUACCCCCACGUGGGUCUUUGUUUUGUAUUUAUAUUUUAUUAAAUGUCUUGUUAACCCCUUACCCGCUGUCUGCGUCUGGGUCCUCUGUUCCCUGACUUUGUGUCUCACCGAACCGUAACAUGACAGAUAGUCUAUCAUCUGUUCCCUUGCUGGUUUGGAAAAUCUCACCAUGCUGGAGGCUGAGGAGGAAUUUCUACAAGGGCCUGUCAUUGACAAGAUAUUGAGCGGGAGCAGUUUGACAGGAGGAUUAAGAACAUUUUGAAGAAGAGUGGCAACCCAUAGGAGUCAUUAUCGAGAGCCAUCCUAUAAUGAUCAUCAAUCCUGUUUUUGAUAAUGGUCUUAAUAAAUAAUGUUGUUCACAAUAAUGUUGGUCACUUUUUUCUUAGAAGUUAAAAGACCUUAGAAUUUUUUUAAAGCGGUGAAUUAUGUUUUUCUUCAUGAAAUAGUAUGCAGGACACUGUUCUAAAUGCAGGGCAUGAAAUUUAAUUGAUGUUUCAUAUGAUUGCACUUAAUGUCUUAAUGUCUUAUAGGCUAAAUAUGGUUAAUAUUUGAAUGUAACUUUGCCUAUACAUUCACAACAAACACUCAAGUCUUCUGUAUAUUUGCAUAUUAAUAGGCCACAGUAGAUUAUAUAUUAUUGUUGUACUGUACAUCUGAUGCAACUGAUCUGUAUUAUUAUUCAUUUUUCAAUUCACAAAAACAUUAAAUUGCAG
This is a long non-coding RNA of Triplophysa rosa, 1767 nucleotides long. RefSeq lists it as uncharacterized. The record is from RefSeq and is a predicted model, not a curated record. NCBI's taxonomy places the organism in Eukaryota, Metazoa, Chordata, Actinopteri, Cypriniformes, Nemacheilidae. The transcript is spliced from 3 exons.